AGAGUUUGAUCAUGGCUCAGGACGAACGCUGGCGGCGUGCUUAAUACAUGCAAGUCGAGCGAGGUUACUGUUUUGGAUCCCUUCGGGGUGAAGAAGCUUUAACCUAGCGGCGGACGGGUGAGUAACGCGUGGGUAACCUACCCCAAAGUCCGGGAUAACAGCGGGAAACCGCUGCUAAUACCGGAUGUCUUUACCUUGGGGCAUCUUGAGGUAAAGAAAGGUAACGCUUUGGGAUGGGCCCGCGUCCCAUUAGCUAGUUGGUGAGGUAACGGCUCACCAAGGCGACGAUGGGUAGCCGGCCUGAGAGGGUGGACGGCCACACUGGGACUGAGACACGGCCCAGACUCCUACGGGAGGCAGCAGUAGGGAAUAUUGCGCAAUGGACGGAAGUCUGACGCAGCGACGCCGCGUGAGCGAUGAAGGUCUUCGGAUCGUAAAGCUCUGUCCUUGGGGAAGAAGGCGAAAGCUUGACGGUACCCAAGAAGAAAGCCCCGGCUAACUACGUGCCAGCAGCCGCGGUAAUACGUAGGGGGCGAGCGUUGUCCGGAAUUACUGGGCGUAAAGGGUGCGUAGGCGGCCCUUUAAGUCGGAUGUGAAAGCCCGCGGCUUAACCGCGGAAUGGCAUUCGAAACUGGAGGGCUUGAGUGUCGGAGAGGGUAGUGGAAUUCCCAGUGUAGCGGUGAAAUGCGUAGAUAUUGGGAGGAACACCAGUGGCGAAGGCGACUACCUGGACGAUAACUGACGCUGAGGCACGAAAGCUAGGGGAGCAAACAGGAUUAGAUACCCUGGUAGUCCUAGCCGUAAACGAUGGGUACUAGGUGUGGGUGGUUUCGAUACCAUCCGUGCCGUAGUUAACGCAUUAAGUACCCCGCCUGGGGAGUACGUGCGCAAGCAUGA
This 897-nucleotide ribosomal RNA is filed under the name uncultured bacterium. RNAcentral's name for it is "bacterial SSU rRNA". It matches the Rfam family "Bacterial small subunit ribosomal RNA", at positions 8 to 897 of the family's 1533-position model. The record is from RNAcentral.